Molecule: long non-coding RNA, 20821 nt
Filed under: Capsicum annuum
Lineage: Eukaryota; Viridiplantae; Streptophyta; Magnoliopsida; Solanales; Solanaceae
Description: long non-coding RNA (CANN_LNC017786)
Source: RNAcentral
UUUUUUUCUUUUUUAUAGGUUGUGUAUCCAUAGAUCAUGCCUACUGAGGAGGAGUCGGUGAUGACUUCUUAUAUUACUCUAGGUCAUGUUGAUACUAUUGCAUACCCAAUGGUGGAGUUAAUAAAGAAGGGAUUGGGUGGAGCAACAGCCAUAAGAAGAGCAGUUAGGCAAGGUCAGCCUAAUGUUGAGGCUCUUCAUGACUAACCUUUUACUAAGGCAGAUCCGGGUGCGUCUUCUGGUGAAGUUGUUAGUAUUGGUGGCAGGCAUGCUCAUGUUGCUACCACUCAUGAUGAUGACCAUGUUGAUGCUCAAAAAAGAAUAAAUAUGUCUGAAAACACCCCUUUUCGCCCUUAUGCAGGUCCCUCUCACCCCUUUUCACCCAUGUGUUCUCAUUGCAAAUGCGGUGCUUCUUCUAGUGGAGUUGUUGGUGUUGGUGGUAGGCAUGCUGAUGCUGCUACCACUCAUGAUGAUGAGCAUGUUGAUGCUCAAGAAAGAAUAAAUAUAUUUGAAAAUGCCCUUUUCACCCAUACACACUUCCUCUCACCCCUAUUCACCUUCGUGUUCUCAUUGCGAAUGAGAUGAGUGCAAGGACAGAUAGGAUAAACUCUUUAAGAAAAUAGAGCCUAUCUAUAAAGCUAUUGAGGAAUUCAAAUCCAAGAGGAAUAUCAUACCAUCCAAGAAUGUGAGGGAGCCACACACUCCUACAGCAUUGGUUAGGAGAAAGAAAAGAGCAAUUAGAGACAUACUCUCCGCUCGAAAAUCAAAAGAAAUUACAAUUCUUCCCUCUCCAAAAGCUGUUGAAGUUCAGGGGCCAGUCAAUAAGGUGGACAUAUACGUGGAACUUGGCGCUGAAGAGAAGAGGGAUCUGCGACAGGCCAAGAAUGCUAAGCCUGGCACACCAGAUUACCCGAGGCCUCCCUUUUCCCCCUAAGACUUCCAGACUAUGACCGAUAUGCGUAUGCCAUACAAGAAUAAUGCAAGUUUACUUUUCCUAACCUGUCCCUUCUAAUCUAACCCAUGAAGAAGAAGCUACGCAAUAGAUUUCACAUCUGUUGCAAUAGCUGAGUAUACUGGUACAACUGGUAGUGGUUCUGUUGCAACUUGUUAUCCAUCUGUUGCAUAAGUUGCGUUGGAUUAUUGAUUCAGAGAACGCUAUGCAACAGAUGGACUAUCCGUUGUAUCUUUACAAUUACUAACCUAUUUAAAAAUUGACUUCUUAUCUCACAGCAUGUUGACAUAAUUCUCUGCCUCAUGAGAAAAAGGCAAUUAACAUACCAGGAAGCUUAUGAUGCUGUCGAUAGGAUAAUGGACCUUCUGUAAGAAGCUCAAGGAUAGGUACGAUUAACUCAAUGGAAAGGCGUCAGCCCUUGGCGUGGGACUUGAUUUCCUAGUUCCUACGUUGUUCUUUGAUGAAGAAGAAACGUUAACAUAUGUUAUAGGGGACAGGCCAAAUCCACAUGGCAAGAGCUGUACCGAGGUAAAAAGGAUUCUUGUAGUCAUUAGCAUGAACGACAUGCAUUAUUAGGCUGUUGUGAUACUACUCGAGGAGGGAAAGAUCAAUGUUUAUGACUCCAACAUACCUCUCAUCAACGAUUUCAAUCUUUUUCUCCUCGUGGAGCCACUGAUGGUGUUGUUGUCCAUCUUGUUGAGGUAGAGCAAACUAGUGAAUCAUUUGCCAAAGAAAGUGUUGAUGAACAAAUCAUGAGAUUUUGAAUGUUGAAAUAGAGGAAUGAUCCUUCCAAAAGAUGAUGCCGCUAAAGAGAGCGACUCACAUGCUCUUGCACACAUCGAAUGUUUGCUGACCGAUACAAAAAUGGCUGAGCCAAUGACUUUUUUGUGAGACAACGCUGUGGCAAACCUGCAAGUGGUCUGGGUUUAUAGGGUACUAACUGUACGCUUGAAGCCUGCGUAUAUAGAAGAGCCUGUGAAAUAGAAAUUUUUAAUUUCAAGUUACCCUUCACUUUAUUAAAUGUACAUGUAGUGGCAAUAAUUUUUUUCUGAUGAAAGUUGAGUUUUUUAUAAUGCAAUUGAUUAUAUUGUAAAUAUGUUGUAAAAUAUCUUUAAUCCGUUCUGGAAGAUAGUUUAUCUAUUGAAAUAGGUUGGUCAUCUGUUAUAUUAUGACGAUGUUAUUUCUAUGAAUAAUCUAAUAAUCUAAGUCUAAUCUGUUGCAACAGUGGUAAGACUUAUUUGAUAAUUUCUAACAGAUGACCUAAAGUUUACAACAUAUGCCUAAAUCUUUUUGAUAUUUUCCAACAGUUACGCUUGAAUAUCCAUGUGCUCGACAACACCAAACCAGUGGCAAAUAUACACACCACCAUGAAAAUUUCAACAAUUAGGCUUAAAUAUCCAUGUGCCCAACAACACCAAACUAGUAGCAAUAACGACAGCAAUGUAGUAUCUUCUUUCUCCAUAUUGUUUCUCUUCAGAAGCCUUGACUUUGUCCAACAAACCCCAGAUUACACGAUUUUCUUGUGAAGGGUGUCAUUCUUCAUACUAAUCAAAGUAAUCGCAUCCAUCCAAUUUCUUUAUUAAAAAAAAAGAGAAUACAAUUACAAAACAAUUAUAAGUCAAUAAUUAAUCAAUUAAUUAAAUAAAAAAAAUUACCUUUGAAAUCUUACAAGUAAAAAACCUACGACCCGGAUUUUAUUGAGUCCAAGAAGUCUUUAACAGAGCUUCAUGACCACACUUACAAUAUCAAAAAUCUUUAUCACAAAAAACAGUGGAAGAUGCACUUGACAUUGACAAGCUCAGUUGGAAAAAAGGAAAGAAAUAAUUUGAAUAGAUAAAAGAAGAUGCUGGUGAAGAAGAAGAUUUGAGAAUUUAGAGUUAAAUUUUAGGAGGAAGAUGAAUAUAUAAAACAAUGGGGGAAAAAAUAACCAUUGGGGGCCAAGUGACGGCAAGUCAGCGAAAUAUGCUAGACUGAUACUAACACAUUUGAUGCCUAUUUUAUUUUACGUGUUUAAAAUGAACACUAUCUACUUGAUGCUUAUCUUAUUUUAGGUGUUUAACUGAACACUGUCGAUGGGUUACGCCUUUUUUAUUUCAAUUCAAUUCACUUUAACCUUUUUACACGUAGUGAUAAUUUUUUAUGUCCAACAAAAGUUGAAUUUUUAUAAUGCAACAGAUUUUUCAUCCGUUGCAACAGUUAUCCUACAUAUUCUGACAUAUAGUUUAUCUGUUUCAAUAGGUUGGUCAUCUGUUGCAUUAUCUCGAUGUUUUUAUCUAAAGUUCAUCUGUUGCAAUAGUGGGAAGACGUGUUUUAUAAAUUAUAACAGAUCCCCUACCUGUUGCAAUAUAUGUCUAAAUCUGUUUGAUUUUUCCAAUAGAUGUGUCAUCUAUUGUAACAGAUACAUUAUCUAUUGCAAUAUUUGAAUCUAGUAUUCCAUUUCAAUUAAUAAGUUCAAAUCUAAGGAAUAAAUAAAAUUUAUAGACAAAAUAAAAUAAAUCAAACCCUUCAUAAAUUAGCUGAAAUAAGUCAACGAAUAAAUGAAAUGCAAAAAAAUUGUUAUGGGUACAGAUCUUAACAAAUACAUCAACAAUAAUUUAAGUAUACAACCAAGGAUUUCUUUGAUUUGACAAGCUCAAGCUAUAAAGAUCUACUUAGUAUGGGAAAGUUGUUCUUUAUCCGGUGCUAUGGAAUUCGACUUUGCUCUUCGUAGAUCUUUAAUGUCGCUUACGUAUGGUUUCUGCGCUUUUUGUUCUCCGUAUUUCUAUAAAAAGAGUAGCAUAUUGUCAAUGUUGUUCAGUAGUAGCUUCUUCUACAUCCACCUAGAAAGCCAGAAUUGGUCAAUGCUAAUCAUGAAGAUACAACAAAACAGAAAAGGAUAACCCAUCUCUUCUAGGAAAGCAAAUAGGUCUUCCUCUCAUUUUAAACUAUCCCAAACAGAUUAUAUUUCUGUUGCAACAAUGAAUCAACUGUUGGGAUAAAUUUCUACAUGAGGAAGAGCCUUUGUGAUAAAUUCCAACGGAUAAACCAUCCGUUGUAACAUAUAAAUCAUCUGUUGCAGCAUAUAGAUCGUCUGUUGGUAAAAAUAAAAGUGGUACGAAGAGCUAUUUGAUUUGCUAAAAUAGACGAGACAUAUGUUGCAAUAGAUAAAGUAUCUCGUGCAACAAGUUAGUCAACUGUUGCAACAGAUGUAUAUAUCUGUUUGAUAAUUUUCAGCAAAUAUGUCAUCUGUUGAAAUAGAUAUGUGUCUGUUUAUUUUAUUAGUUAGAAGACAUAAUAUAUUCACCUUCUUCAGCUCGUGCUGCUCUCCUUUGGACAUUGUACAUUGCUCAGUGCAACACAUAGACAGAGGAGUUGCAAUUUUGCUUUUUUGGAUGCUUAAUAAUGCCCUGGAAAUCACUCUCCUUAUCCUCUUAGCCCUAAUCUCUAAUGGAGUGGAUAGAAAUAAAAUCCCAAUUGAUGGAAUGAGACCUCUCUUAGAUGUCAAUUCCUUUACAGAAGCAGUUAAUACAUUAAUAGCAUUAACCACUACAUCAUGUUUUGCCCUGCAGUCUUGACAUUUGCAUGCAGAAAUUCACUGGGAGAGGCAAAAUCUGUGUAACCAGUAUAAUCAUACUCAUAAUGGUUUGCUUUAAAUACUGUAAGGGGAGCAUUAUUAGCACCAGCAGCAGCACUACUACCACCACCAAUAGCUCCAUCACCACUAAGACCAUCAACAACAACAACAAGCCCACCCUUCAAAAUUGUUUUUCUUGUAAUGGUUGUUUCUCCAAACAAUUCCAUUUUUAUUUUGUCGAUGACCUUAGGGUUCGAUAAAGUUUACACAAACCGUAAAGUAAAAAAAAAUGGCUUCUUCAACUCUCGAUUGGUUGGAACUAGCGACGGAUGCACAAUCUAACAAAAAUCAUUACAUAUAUUAGAAUGAUGAUUAGAUCAUUCAAAAAAAUCAUUAAUUAAAAGAAAAAACUAAUUAUAAUAAUACUUACUGCAUCCUUCGGGGGGUUGAAGAGAUCAAGAAAUUUUACACUUCAGUUUUAGCUGACAACCAUCUCAAGAGUCUUGGACAGGAAACUCCCUUCUGGUAGUUCACUUGUUGUCUCAAAUAAGGAAUGACUUUAAACGUCCAAGCCUAUAAAGUAACGCCAAUAAAUCAAAACCAUUAUUGAACGAAAAAAAUGAAUGAUAUCAUAAUAGAAGAAAGAAAUAUUUACCAUGAAAGCCCAUGGAAAGCCAUAUAAGUUGACUGCCUUUGGUGCUAACGGAGUCAACAAAUAUUUAACAGUCAUUUUGAAGCUUUCAUACCCCCAAGGAUAGCUGUUAAAUGCAUCAAGAUCCUCGGAGAGCUUUAUUAAAUUGAGGCUUAUAUUGUUGUUAACAUCUCUCACCCAAAGAAUAUUAUGUAUAAACCAAACUAAGCACAAUAACUGCUUGUGAUUCUUUGAAAGUACUUUACCUUUCAACGCUUCUAUCAAAUAUUUGUUUUUGAAGGUUGGACCAACAAUGGACACCAGGUCAUCAUGAUCACACGACUUGCCUUUGCCUUUUUUAGGCGUGCGGGAUGCUUUUUUGGAUUAGAAUAAGAAUAACUUUAGAAAGAGGAUAAGAUUUUAGUCCAGUAACUAUGGCAAACUCCUUCCAACCAAAACAAAUAGGCAUGCCACAGUAAUUUAUCCAUACCUCAUCUAUCUUAUCUUUGUCUUCAUACAUAAACCUAAACUUGAGUAGUUCAUAUACCAUUUUUAUUUGGAAACGAGCAUUGUUGUCCUCUGGCAAAUCAAGAUAUUUCCUAAAGCAGCUAUCCCUGAAAUAAGCAUCCAAUUUUUAUUCUCGAAGUAUUUUUCUAAAGGCAUCGAAAGAUUUUCCCAUGGUUGACUUAACCAUGAAAUCACUCGUUAAAUCUGCGGCACCAUAGCACUGCAUUCUCAUAGGAUAACGAUCAAUGCUGAAGGCUUUGACCUGCUCUUUGGUGGAAGGACUAUUAGCAUCUGUAUCAUCUCUUUUGAAACAUCUCUCUUCCCCGUGUUCAUCAUAUUUUGCUCCCGAUUGAGAUAACGCUUGUAAAGUAAGCUCAUAGAGUGGUGGACGUUGCCUAACUGCUUCCCUUGUUCCUUUACUUAGACUUGAUUCAAUUUCUGUUCUUUUGGAAACCAUAUUAUCUAAAAUUAGCAGGAACAUAAAAUAAUAUAUUAUUGUUGAUUAAUGCAUCAUUAAAAAGGAUAACGGUAAAUCAAACAAGCAAAAUAGUAAAAUAAUAGUUGUAACAAAUCAUCAAUUUAUUACACCAGAUAGUAUAUCUAUUACAGUAUAUAACCAAACUGUUGCAGCGGAUGAGUAAUCUGUUGCAACAAUACAAAAUAUAUCACUCAUCUAUUGAGAAAGAUGAAUGGUUUGUGCAAUAGAUCACACAUUUGUUGCAACAUAUGAGUGAUCUGUUGGAACAGUUAAAUAAUCUGUUGCGAUAAUACAAAACAUAUGACUCGUCUAUUGAGAAAGAUGAAUGGUUUGUGCAAUAGAUCACACAUUUGUUGCAACAUAUGAGUGAUCUGUCAGAGCAGUUAACUAACCUGCAGCAACGGCUAAGUAAUCUGUUGUGACAAUAUAAAACAUAUGACUCAUCUGUUGAGAAAGAUGAAUGGUCUGUGCAAUAGGUCACACAUCUGUUGCAACACAUGAGUGAUCUGUUGGAACAAUUAUCAACUGUCAAUAUUAUUUAGAUUUCUUCCACCAUAGGGUCGUCUAUCAUGAUAGAUAAAUAAUCAGUUGGAAAAAUCGGGUCUUGGACAUUUCCUAUAGGAAGAGUUAAUGGGAUUUUAUCCAAUAAGAGGUUCAUCUGUUGCAUCAGAUCAUUAAUCUGAUGAUUCUUCCAUCGUACCAGAUGGUUAAUUAGUUGCAUCAGAUUUUUAUCCGAAGCUUAAUCUGUUGCAAUAUAUGGUAAAGUUAUUGCAUCAGAUAGAUAAUAUGUUGUGUCAGAUUAUUAAUCUGUUGCAUCAGAAUUAUAAUCUGAUGGUUCCUCUGGUGCAUCAGAUAGUUGAUCUGGUGCAUCAUAUAAUAAAUCUGUUGCAUUAGAUGGUUAAUAUGUUACACCAGAUGGGUAAUCUGUCGGAGGAAACAAAAAAUAGUAGCACGAUUUUAUUUAACAAAAACAGAAAUUUCAUCCUUUUUACCAAGAACAAGAAUAGAACAAAUCAAACCAAAUUGUCAUUUUGUUUUUAUAAACACAAAUAAUAAAAAGGCUAUUUCAGACCGCAUUUCAAAUUAGUGCAACAAAUAUUGAAAUUGUUAACCAAUACUAUAAGAGAAGUUGGUUGAAGUUUCUCGUUUUCUUCAAAACUAAAAAGGCCAUAAAUUUUUACCUGUGAAAGAAGAAAAGGAACCAUGAAGAAUUCGAAGUUGUUAUGGCCGGAGAGCAAGGCUGUCAUGUCGAUUGAAGGUUGAAGUCAAAAAGAAACUCGAAGACCAACUAUUUGUAGUCGAAUGUUGAAGUCGUCGAGGAUUGAAAUAAGAAAUUUGUAGAACAGUUGGUUAAGAAAGAGUUGAGAGAAGCUUUCGAGAGAGGGAUGAGAGAUAGGUUGAUUGACUUGAAGAGGAAAAAUCGACGCCCAACUAUUUGUUGCCGGAGGUAGAAGUCUCCGGGGGUUAAAGGGAGAAAAAAGGAGAACUCGAAGCCCAACUAUUUAUCGCCAGAGGUAGAAGUCGUCGGGGGUUGAAGGGAGAAAUUUUGCAGAACUAUUGGUUGGGAAAUAGUUGAGAGAAGUUGAAGAGAGAGGGGAGAGUGGUUGAUUUGGAUUGAAGAGGGGUGUGGGUUGGGUUGAUUUGUAUUUUUGAAAAGAUUAGAAAGUUUUGAAAAUAUUAAUCAAGUCCACAAUAAACUUGAUCAAGUUUCCUCAUGAUGUUUGACCUUAUCUUUUGGUCAAUGUCACCAAUCCUUCAUUCAAGACUUAAAAGACACCUUUCCUUCAAUUUUCUCAGCUAACUUCCUCCCAAAUGUUAGAAGAAUUACGAAAUAUAUUUCAAGGAAACAUUGAAGAAAGUAAACAUUUCCGCACCUAUAGCAGCACAUACAAUAAUAUAUUGACGUUCACCUCUCUUGGAGUAAAUUAUGAUAAAAACUUAGCAAAGAGAGAUCACGGGGAUAUACAUGUUUAGAGUCAAGGGACAAAUGUACCUUUCUAUUGAAGAUUUAGUUCCCCUGAUAAAAGACCUAAAAACUUACAAUUAUACUUCUGUGAUAAUGAAAAUGAUAUAACAAACCGAAUUGCUUUAUCAGAAAAUCUAAGUGAAUUAAGUGUAAAAAAAUUGAUGUGUAUAAUGAAAAUUAACCCAUAUACUACCUUUUUGAAGACACUAACAAAUAUUUCCAAAUUAUCCAAAUUCUACAUAGCUCUUAAAUCAAACUCUGGUUUAAACCAACGAACAUAAAAUUUUCCAAUUUAAUCUAAAGUAGGAACAAUAUGGAUAGAAGAAGAAUCAAAUGGCAAAGUUUCUACACCCCAUAUUCGAAUAUAUACCCAUAAUAAAAAAUCACAAUUGGUCAAUUACUACUAUGGAUGUUAUGAUCUAUUACAGUAUCCGUUGUUAUUCCCUCAAAGUGAAAAUGGAUGGCACUCCGGUAUAAAAAAAGUGAUACAAACAUUUGACAUUUUCAAUUAUCAAACUAACUGUGAAAAUGCACAAUACCAAGUGUAAUGAACAUGACUUCAAUUGAAGGGCUACUUGAUAUGGAAUCUGAAGUUCUUUCAAAGGAUAAUAAAAAAAGGCGUAUUGUUUCUUGUCGCAAAUAUUAUUGUUAUAAACUUCAAACAAGGUAGAAGAAACCAAAUGCAACUUUACAUCCUGGAAGGGUGUUCCAAUAAUAUAUAGUUGACCAAUGCAUAAACUUGAAACACAACGAUUAGAUUUCUUUUUACUUAAUCAAAAUCUAUUUAGAAUUAAAGUACUGCAAGGGAUUAUUGAUAUACUAAGAUAUCGAGAAAGAUACACUUCAAAUAUUAGAAAAGGAUGAAUUCUAACUGCAAGCUUCAUAGGAGGUACAAGACACAUGCGUCGCGGAUAUAUGAAUGUUAUUACAUUGGUACAACAAUUUAGAAAAUCCGACAUAUUCUUGACAAUGACUUGGAGUCCUUUCUGGCCUGAAAUAUAAGAACAUCUACUGCCAAGUGAUGAAGUUCAAAAUAGACCUGAUUUAGUUAGCCGAGUAUUUAAAGAAAAAGUAGAAGAACUUAAAAAAUAUAUCCUAAAAAAGAACAUAUUUGAAAAGGUUGCAGCUUUAAUGUACACGAUAGAAUUUAAAAAAAGUGGCCUUCCUUAUGCACAUUUUCUCAUUAUACUUACAGACAUAUAUAAACUAUUAACGCCUGAGGCUUAUGAUAAAAUUAUUUGUGUUGAAUUGCCAAAUUAUACAGAUCAAGACUUAUACAGUCUUGUAACUAAACACAUGAUUGAUGGACCUUGUGGCUAUUUAAAUCCAACAUGUCCUUGCAUGAAAAAAAACUCUUGCAAAUUUAAAUAUCCUAAAAACUUUCAGAACAAACAAUGAAAGAAACAAAUUCUUACCCCAUUUACAGAAGAUAAAAAAUAGAAGCACCAAUAGAACUAAAGCAAUACAAAAUUGACAAUACUUGGGUGGUACCCUACAAUCCCUAUUUACUGCGAAAAUUCAGUGGUCAUAUUAAUGUUGAAAUAUGUUCAGACAUUAAGGUUGUCAAAUACAUCUACAAAUAUAUUUGUAAAGUCCAUGACAAAAUUGCAUUUCAUGUGCAUAAUGGUGACUCAAAUAUAGAAGUAGAAGAAAUAAAAGCAUAUCAAUUCGCUAGAUGGGUUUCUCCUCCAGAAGCUGCAUGGCGUUUGUUCGCUUUUGCUAUCAGUGAAAUGAUACCAACUGUAUACCAACUUCAACUACAUCUAAAGGCCACCAAUAUGUAUUUUUCAAAAGCAAUCAAAAUGUUGAUCAAAUUCUAAAUAAUCCAAUGAUAAGAAUAACAAUGUUAAAUGAAUUUUGUGAAAUGAAUAGAACAAAUGAACAUGUUAUAGAACUGAACUUAUUAUAUAAAGACUUUUCCAGGCAUUUUGUAUGGUCAGCAACAGACAGAAUAUGGUCAUGCCGACGACCACACAGUAAUGUCAUUAGUAGAAUUGUCACGUGUCAUCCAACCAAAGGAGAACGAUGUUAUCUUAGACUAUUUUUGACUAAUGUAAGAAGGCCUAAAUCAUAUGAAGAUCUCUGCAAAGUUAAUAGAAUAUAUUAUGAUACAUUCAGAGAAGCUGCAGAGAAAAAAGUCUUACUACAUUCCAAUAAAAGUUUAAUAUAAUGUUAGCACGAAGCUGCAGGCUAUCAAAUGUCUUAUAGCCUAAGACGUCUGUUUGCCACAUUAUUAGUUUACUGCAAUUUUGUAAAUCCAAAAGAUCUAUGGGAAAUAUUUAAAGAUUCGAUGUCUGAAGAUUUUAAAUAAAUACCUAAUAUGAAAACAAAAGACAUUAAACAUUCAGUUCUAUAUCAUAUUAAUGAAGUUUUACAUUUAAUAGGACACAAUAGAGAAAAUGGUCAAAAGCCCCCCCAACCUUUACCCCAAAUCCCAACUACACACUCAACUUUUAAAGGUGACCUACUACCCCCUGAACUAUUUUAAAGUGAAAUUAUUAUCCCCUGAACUAUUUUAAAGUGGAAUUAUUAUCCCUCGAAAACUGACAACUAGUCAUUUGAAAUGUGGCAUGAUGCACUGCCACAUCAUGCCACGUCAUUGCCACAUCAUUUUUCUUUUGUUUACUCUAAAAAAAUUAAUUAUUUAACUUUAUUAUUUCCUUUUUUCUUUCUCAAUUUUCAUUUUGCUCCAUUUUCUUCUUCAACCAAUUUCAUCUUCUUGGGUCAAAAAUAAAAUUCUUGAGAAAAAAUGGCGGAUUAAUGAAGUUCUUGAAUGGCGGGUUAAUGAAGUUCUUGAAUGGCGGAUUAAUGAAGUUCUUGAAUGGUGGAUUAAUGAAGUUCUUCAACCCAAUUUCAUCUUUUUUUGCUCAAGAUCGCCAUUAAUGGUGAAUUAUUUCCCAUUGUGGAGAUUUCAAAGCUUUGAGCUCGCCAUUAAUGGCGGAUCUUAAGCAAAAAUAGAGAAAAUCAGAGAAAUGGGUUGAAAAUUAUACAUGGGUUAUGUUGGAAAUUAUAUAUGACAUUGUGAAAAUUCGAAGCUUUGAGCUCCCCAUUAAUGGUGAUCUUGAGCAAAAAGAGAGGAAAUUGAAGUUCUUGAAUUUUUUCAAGUUUUUUGAAUCGGAGUUCCCCAACUUCUUCAUUCAAGAAUUCAUUAAUCGGAGAAAUCUUAUUGUUUCCUUAGUUCAAGUGUUUCUUGGUUUUAGUUUCGGAGCAAAAAGAAUUUCUUAGUUUCGGAGAAACCCAUUAAUGAGGAAGAUAAGGAACUCCAUUAAUGAGUUCUUAAAUUUUUAUUUUGAAAAAGAGAAGAAGAAGACAUGACGUGGCAAUUAGAAUUCAUUAAGAAAAAGUAAUAAUUAAAAUAUUUAUUAUAUUAUUAAAAAUAAUGACAUGGCAAUCAGAAAAAAAGAAUUUAAAGUGAAAUGGGGUCAACUGACGCUCCCAUGGACGGGUGUAGUCACGUCCAGUGACAGGUCAGCAACUGGGGGUAAUAAAUUCGGUAAAAAUAAGUUUAGGGGCUAAUAGGUCACCUUUAAAGGUUGAGUGUGUAGUUGGGAUUUCGACUAAAGGUUGGGAGGUAAUAGACCAUUUUCUCGGACACAAUAUAAAGAAAUUCAACUUUUUUCCUGAAAAUAUUACACCUUUCAGAAUAACUACAAAAGCAAAAGAUAUUCUCUGUGAGAGAAACAUAAUAGUUACUGAAGAAGAUCUUUUGUUACAAAGAAAGUUAAACAGGCAUAAAAAAUAGCAUAUAAUAUAAUACUUAUAAGGUAUAUUCUAAUAAAUUAGGUUUUUUUUUGGUUGACGGUCCAGGAGGAACCAAAAAAAUAUUUUUAUAUAGAGUUUUAUUGGCAAAUGUAAGAUCAAAAGGAUUUAUAGCCUUAGAAACUGCUAACUCUGGUGUUGCAGCUUCAAUUCUCUCCAGAGGUUGAACUGCACACUCGCGAUUCAAAAUUUCAAUUGAUAUUGACAGUAACUUUACUUGCAACAUUAGUAAACAAAGUUCAUUAGCAUCUUAAUUUGAGAUUCAAAAUUAAUUAUUUGGGAUGAAGUCUCCAUGACCAAAAAUAAAAUGAUACAAGCAUUUGAUAUCCUUUUAAAGGACUUAACAAGUAAAACAUGCCUGUUUGGCGAAAAAGUCGCCGUCUUUGAUGGGAACUUUAGACAAACACUACCCGUUGUUCGUAAUGGAAAGAGGGAAGAUUUCGUACAUGAAAGCCUGUUAUAUUCCGUUAUUUGGAAUCAACUAGAAAAGUUAUAAAAAAAACAUGCUAGCAAAAGAAGAUCCUACUUUCUGCGAAUAUCUAAUGUGAAUUGGAAAUGGACAAGAGAUAACCAACAACAGCAAUAAAAUUCAAACUCCCCCUGAUUUUAUUAACCCAUUUACAAAUGAGACAGAAUGCCUUAAUCAAUUAUUCAGAGAAACUUAUCCUAAAAUAAAUACAGUCUUCUCAGCUUCAUCUUCUAUGACUUCACAAAUUAUUUUAACUAUCAAAAAUGACUUUGUUAAUGAAAUUAAUGACAUGCUUAUAAAUUAUCUUUUUAAUAAUGCUCAAGUUUAUACUGCAAUCGAUGAAACUAUAGAACCAAAUGACCAAUGUGAAUUUGAAGAUUUUUUACACACCUUAAAUCCUGCAAAUUCCCCCCAUACAAGUUGACUUUGAAAAAAGAUUGCCCUGUUUUAUUACUGCAAAAUUUAAAUCCUUAUGAAGAAUUAUGUACAUAAUUAAUAUAUAAUAAUUUUAACAAGCAUGUUAUUAGUGCUACUAUUGCUAGCGGCGAUUUUAAAAAUACACAUGUAUUUAUUUCAAAAAUACCAUUAAUGACAUCAGUAGAUGAAAAUAUGCAUGUUGCUUUUAAAAGAACAUAAUUCUUAAUUCGAUUAUAUUUUACAAUGACAAUAAAUAAAGCUCAACGUCAAACAUUGAAUUUUGUUGGAAUUUAUUUACGUGAAUUAGUUUUCUCACAUGGCCAACUUUAUGUCGCUUUAUCUAGAGUCAAAACUUCAAAAAAUAUCAAAAUAUUAAUACGACCAUCUACAGUAGAAGAUACAGAUGACCAUUCUACAUAUAGUAUAGUAUAUGAAGAAAUUAUAUAAAAAGCAUUUACAUGAAAACAUAAUUUCUCUAUCCUUCAGAAAAAAAAUUGUAAAGCCUAAAAUGUCACCAACUAUGUUACCAUAACAGUUAUGCAAAAUUUUUGUGCUACAAAAUAAUGUUAAUAAUCUUACACUUUAUUGUUGUUAUGUGCCCGAAAUUCUAUCCCCGGCCUUUUCAGAGGUAUUGCAUCCACCAUAGCAUUACAUAAAGUUGUUACCAAUUGUCUUACUACUACGUAUUUCCAGAAUAUCAGUAACAGUAUGUUGUUUUCCUGCUUAACUUUUAACAAUUUUGGUUGUCCCUUUUCUAAAGAAAUUAUCUAUACAUACUUUUGUUCUACUUGACAGGUUGGUGUUUUCACCGUUAAAACAGAAAUGUCACUAUUAGAUGAGUUUCAAAAGUUCUUCCUAAUGCAUUAUUCAAGCUACAAAUAGAAAAAAUGCACAAAAGAUAGAAAGUCAUUUGAUUGUGCAAACUGUAAACGGUAAACAAAGCUGACAUAUCUUUUAGCAUAAUAAGUUGUUGUCAUCAUUUGUGUGACUUCUACUGUUGUGAAUGAAGUGAUGCUGGUCCAUCUUGAAAAGAAUUCUCCUUUGUAAAAUAGGAUUGGCAGUAAUAUCUCUUGAAAUAGCCCUUCGAGCCAUGAAUCAUUUGAGAGUUCUUCAAAGGGGAAGAGAAAUUUAGAGUUUUUUAUUUGUUUGCACAUUGUAGUAGCAUUAAAUUGCUACUUAAGGCUAUGCUAUACUUUUGGCCUGGAAAUUCAAAAGAGAUUUCGAGUGGCCUUGUCGAUAUAUCUGUUAUCUAUGAAUUCAUCUAAGAACCUAAUCAAGCUCUCGAGUUUCUUCAGAAGGCCAUAAAAGCGUAUCGAAAUGCACCAGGACAACACAACACUAUUGCAGGAACUGAAGCCCAGAUUGAGGUCUUGCACUAUAUUAUAGGGGAGUAUAUGAAGUCUUACACAGACACAUUAGGGAUCUAUAUCAAUGUUGCUAGAACUUAUGAUGUAAUGGGAAGGUAAUUACCGUCUUUUAUAUUGAUCUACCAUAUAGUUUUCUUUAUUGUCAUAUUACUAUGACAUUUACUUUCUAGUUUUUGAUUCUUCGUUACAACAAUGUAGUCAUCAUUACUGCAAUUAAGUUAUCUCACUUGAACAUUUUCCAUCAAUGUUGAAGUUCUAUCUGAUUUGAAUUACUAUUGCAUUGUGGAAAAUGAUUUUGAACUGUCACUUAUGCUCAGUUUUAUUUUUGUAUUACUGAAACUCAGUUAUGAUGCCUGUCUUUUUGUAAUUGUUUUCCAAUGAGGUUUUCCUUGUACUCUAAUUUCCUUGUCUAUUCUUUAUUUGGUCUUUCUUGUACUCUAAGUUCCUUAUACUAUAAAUGUCAUGUAUUUUUGAUAAUUUAGAUAUACAACAACAAACCCAGUGUAUUCCCACUUAGUGGGGUCUGGGGGGGGUAAGAUGUACGCAGUCCAUACCUCUACCUCUGAUGAAGUAGAAAGGCUGUUUUCGAAAGACCCCCGGCUCAAGACACAAGAUAUCACACAAACACAUAGUAAAGCACAGAAGCAGAUGACAUAACAUAAAUACGGCACCCAUAAGAAAUAUAAAACAGCGGAAAGCAGAGGAAAGCACACAGAUUCGUAAUAAGCAUGGGACACUGAAUACGGAAUCAUAACGGGAAUAAAAAUAAAAAAAAACCCCACCGAGUAAUUCCCUACCCUAGCGACCCAAUCUGGCCCUACUCUUCUGCCGUAAUUCGCGUCUUCCAGACCUUCCUAUCUAGGGUCAUGNNNNNNNNNNNNNNNNNNNNNNNNCCAACGCUAGCCUCUCACACCUACGGACCGGGGCAUCCAUGCCCCUCCUCUUCACGUGUCCGAACCAUCUCAAUCGUGCUUCCCGCAUCUUACACUCCACUGAAGUCACACCAACCUUCUCCCGGAUAGUCUCAUUCCGAACUCUAUCCCCUCGAGUCAGUCCACACAUCCAGCGCAACAUCCGCAUUUCUGCCACCUUCAUUUUUUGGAUGUGGGAGUUCUUAACUGGCCAACACUCCGCUCCAUACAGCAAGGCCGGACGGACUACCACCCUAUAGAAUUUGCCUUUAAGCUUGGGCGGCACCUUCUUAUCACACAGCACCCCCGACGCGAGUUUCCACUUCAUCCAUCCCGCCCCAAUACGGUGCGAGACAUCCUCGUCAAUCUCACCGUUACUCUGGAUCACGGACCCGAGAUACUUGAACUUAUCCCUCUUACAUACCUCCUGUGCUUCCAGCUUCACUACUACCUCGUUCUCCCGCCUCACGUCAUUAAACUUACAUUCCACAUACUCUGUCUUGCUUCUGCUCACCCUGAACCCUUUAGACUCAAGAGUUUGCCUCCACAUCUCUAAUUUGUCAUUUACACCCCCUCGAGUCUCAUCUAUCAGAACUACAUCGUCUGCAAAGAGCAUACACCACGGCACCUCCCCUUGAAUACGCCGCGUCAACACAUCCAUUACUAACGCAAACAAAAAGGGACUAAGAGUAGAUCCCUGAUGCAAUCCUGUCCGGACAGUGAAAUGCUCUGAGUCUCCUCCCGCCGUCCUCACCUGGGUUUUCGCUCCCUCAUACAUAUCCUUAAUUACUCUGAUAUAUGCCUGCGGUACUCCCCUCACCUCCAAGCAUCUCCAAAGCACCUCCCUGGGGACUUUGUCGUAAGCCUUUUCCAGGUCGAUAAACACCAUGUGCAGAUCCUUCUUCCUUUCCCUAUACUGCUCCACCAACCUCCAUACCAGGUGGAUUGCCUCCGUCGUCGAGCGGCCGGGCAUAAAUCCGAAUUGGUUUUCCGAGAUAGACACUAUCCGUCUCAGCCUCACCUCGACCACUCUCUCCCAGAUGCCAAAUAAUGUGGAAAAUCCUCAAGAUGGAGACGCCAGGAAGUCUUCGGAUGCUUCUUCACCACCACCUACUAGUCUCCCGUCGACUUGGUAUAGUGGCUUACUUCAGCAAGCAUCAGUUUAUGGGGUAGCUCCUCGAUACUGUCUAUUAUUAGGAUUUUUGCCCUGAUUUUCUUAUCAAAAUUAAAUUAUACUUUUAUUGGAAGGAACAUAAAAGUUACCAUAAUUACUUUUACUUUUCCUAAAAGAAAAAUAUAAAACUCUCUCAUAUUUGGCUAACCUCUUUCUUGGAGGAAAGGUUUUUGACAUCUAUAAAUAGAAGACCUUCUCAUACCAUAACACAAUAGCAUCCACAAUCUAGUCCUUAAUGAGUCUUGUUUAUGGGGAGAUUUUCUCUCAUAGUAUUUUAUAUUUUUUAUUUAUCUUUUAAUAUGUAGGUCGAUUGGUCAAACUAUAUCAAUAAUAUUAUGCCUUUGUAGUUUAGUUUUGUGUCAGCUGAAUUAUCAUCAUAUUAGUUUUCAAACUUUAAGCUUCCUCAUGACACCUCUCAAUUUCGAAUUCAACAAGUGGUAUCAGAGCCUGCGAUUCAAAGGUCUAAUGGUUUGGUGAAACGAGGUUGAAGACAAGUUCAAGGCGGUUCAAAAUCAAUUUACAACCAAUUUAAUGAUAAUGAAGAUAUAUGUUCAAGAUACUACAUGUGGAUAAAAAGUUUCAAACAAAUUUUCAACAAUCAUGCUACUAAUCCAUCUUUAAAACCAAAAUCAAUUUUCAACCCAUGUUUAUAGGCUCCAACUUUCAACCUUUGCUGAUUUUUAUGCUAGGGUUCUUUUCAACUCGUGCAUUUAUUUUUAACGCAUGAGCUCCACGCUUAACCUGUGCUCACUUUCAAUGCACAAGGCUCCACUUUCAACCCUGUUCACUUAUAACACAAGGCUCCAAUAAUAUCAACCCAUGUUUUUAUUUUUAACGCAUAGGGAUUCAAUUUUUAACCCAUAUCAAUUUUUAAUCAUGGUAAGCAACAGUGUAUAUGAAGAUCGUGUGAAGAAGGGGGAUCAAGAAUAUUUUGCUAGAAAAUUACGCCAAAAAGGAGAGAUUUGUUAGAUUUUUGCCCUGAUUUUCUUACCAAAAUUAAAUUAUACUUUUCUUGGAAGGAAAAUAAAAGUUACCAUAAUUACUUACAUUUCCUGAAAGGAAAAUAUAAAACUCUCUCAUAUUUGGUUAACCUCUUUCUUCUAGGAAAGGUUUUUGACAUCUAUAAAUAGAAGACCCCCUUCUCAUACCAUAACGCAUUAGCAUCCACAAUGUAGUCGUUAAAAGAGUCUGGUCUAGUAGGGGGAGAUUUUCUCCCAAUAAAUUUUACUUUUUUUUUCAAUAUUAAUUUUUAAUAUGUAGAUCAUUUGAUCAAAUCAUAUUAAUAGUAUGUUUUUAUUAUAGUUUUUCUUUGUCAUAUGAUUUAUCUUCUUUUUGGUUUGUAAAAUUUAAGCUUCCGUAUGACGCCCUCUCGAUUUCGAACCCAACAUCUAUCAGGAUCAUUACUCUCCAUCAUUAACAAGUGAGAUGUUAUGAAAUUUCCUUACCCAGGGGCACUAACUGCAUUGCAGUAUUUCACAAGCGCAGCUGGAGUCCUCAUAUGCGGGUGGCUCCAAUGUUGAUACUUCUAUUGUCUUUAGAUCAGUUGUCCCCAUCUUUGUUGCAAUAGGAGAGAUCCUCUACUUGCACCAACCAUGGCCAACAAUUAAAACAUGGGUGUCACUGGGUACAAUCUUUGCUGGUAGCGUGCUCUAUGUCAUUACUGAUUCCUAGUUCACACUAACAGCUUAUAGCCGGGCAUUGGCUUACUUAGUAAGCAUGUCCAUUCAUUUUGUAUAAUAUCAAGCAUGUAGUAAUGAUUAGCUAGACUGCCCUCUCUUAGAUGCAAGCAAAUUCUCAAUCAUCUUUCUUUCUUUUUUUAUUUUUAUGAGUUUUUAAUUAUUAUUUCUAAUUUCUCUCAAAAGCAGCAUUACCCAAAAGAAAAUAUAGAAGUUAAGAACCUACGAUCUUACUGACAUAUUGGAACUUGCCUUGUCUGUAAACUAUAUUUUUUUAUAUAUUCAUUAACGAUAAAAAGUACAUUUUUGCUUAUUUCCAUUUGUUUGUAAAUUAAUAUAUUGGGCUCGUGCUUAGUACGGACCUUGAUCAUCUAGUAUAUGUAUAUAUAUAUUGAUAUAUUUUGCGCAUCACAUGAAUACAUAUAUUAGUAAAUAGUCAAUACAAAUAAAUAUUAGUGUAGUAACGUUAGUCUGACAUCUGCCAAGUUUUCUAAAUAUAUUUGACAAGUUUGAGGAUACUCAUGUAUAAUAUGCAUCUUUUUCUUAUUUAAGUUUUCAACUUGUAUUCCGAUUUCUCUUGGACAUCGAGGACAUAUCAAUCAAUUACAUCAUCUGGCAUCGUUAGUUGAACAAAAUCUUAGUUGGCUCUUACAGAUCCACUCAGGUAAGUUAAUGGAGAAACUACUGGAUUCAGGAUUGUUUGGUACCACUUAUAAUGUAUAAUAAUUUUGAAAUAAAAUGUAAAAUUAUAUUAUUCUAUAUUUGAUUGGUGAUUUUAAUUAAUUUCAAAAUCAUUUACAUUAUAAUAGUGAGAUAAAUUAUCUAUAUACAUAAUGAAAUAACUUAUUUCAAAAUAUGUGCCAUUGAUUUGAAGAGUUAUUUCGAAAUAUGUGCGAUUGAUUUGAAGAUUUCAUUCAGAUAAAUUUUCAAUUGCUUCAGUAGGGAGGCCAAAGCCAGAUAGAUCAUUUAUAGUUAAAUUAAAUAAAUGAUUCGCAACAGGAUUUGAAAUUUAUGAGUUGAAAAUUUAAAAAUAUAAUAUCAAGUAUUAAUAAUUGAAUUAAUUUUGAAUGUAUAACUAGAAAAUAACUUAAAUAACCGCUAUUUAAAAAUUAUAUCCAUCACAUAUAUAAUAUGUCACACUCCUAUUUUAAUCAAAAAGAUUUGAUUUUAAAGUUUGAAAGGGUUUUUAUUAGUAAAGUUACAAAAGCUGAAAACUAUUUCGAAAAGGAUUCAUUUUAUAAUCAAAUCAGAGUCGCACUUGGCAUAAUCGGGUGUGUCAAGUCACCCUUUGAAAAUCCUUUUGCGAAACUGUUUUUGACUCUUUUAAACUGCUUUGCGAACAGAGAUUCCGGUUAAGGAAUUCUGUUGAUCGAGGGAAGGCGUUAGACACCCCUCGAUCUCAUGGAUCGAUCACGAUCGCUUUGGGGAGCAUAUCCACUAAUUUGACACUACAAAAUGUAUAAACCACACACACACAAAAAAAAAAAAAAACAAUCAAAACAAACAACAAACAAAUGAAUCCUGAAAAAUAUAAUGUUCAGUCCAAUUAUACAGUCCCAAAAUAGAAAAAUGCAGAAAUGUAAACCUACACUAAUCCUAAGCAACGCUCCAAUGCUUUACCAAAUGCUUUGGGCCUUCGUCAUGGAUGUCCUCCCAGUACAAAAUAUUUUGGGGCAUUCCCAAGUGAAUAAGUACAAUAUAAUCUCGGGGCAUUCCCCGACGAAUGAAUACAUCAUCUAACCUUAUGCAAUAAAAUAGAAGAAAACGUUCACACGCACAUUCAAACUUUCAACAUUCAACUAUAUCCCUAAAUUUGCCUACCCGAACCUAAACUUUGCUUAUUAAACUUUCGGCCUAAAAUAUGCUCCUAUCGAGUUCACAAACUUGAUAUUUAUUCCGAAUUAAACAAAACAACAAUAAACCAAAAUUAACUUAAAUUCACCCUUUUUAUCAACUUCUCAUUUCUACCCCAAAUUUUCUUUUAUACGUUACUUUUCACACAAAGCGAUAAUCCAAACUCAUGCAACAUCAAAUUCAUACCAUGAUUAAUUAUUCAUGGAUAACCAAUAUCAAAUAUCAACAAGAUCAUCCAUUCACAAACCAACAACACACAAUCAUACAUCAAUGCACCAAAUCGAAACAAAACGAAAAGGAAUCAAAGAAUUGGACCUCAAAUAUCGAUUUCAAUAUAUUGGAGAUAGCACUGAGCCCGGAAAAUCUCAAUUCGAACCUCGACCAACAAAAUUCAACUCUGUAUCGAGAAACAGCAAGCGGACAGAUCCAAUUCUCGUAGACCCGACUCUAUCUCAUCCGUUUCCGGCGAAGGUCACCGGAAUCAGACCGUAAACAAUCAAUUUCAGUCGAUUUGGGAACGAUUUCACUAAUUCCGUCCGGUUUACUGAGUUUUCCGAUGGGAAACCAGUUAUCAAAAAAAUCGAGCCAUGGGAAUUUCUCAACUCUCAGUCGUCCUCUCUCUAUCUCUAACUUCUCUCACCCAAUCUCUCUCUCGCAUCUCUGUUUUUCUCCAAUCUCCCUCACCUCUCUCGAUUUCUCUCACUGUUAUCCGAUCUACUCUUUGUUUUCCUCUGUUUUCUGCUUUUUCCAAUUCGUGAGUGCGUGUACUUAGUGAGAUUUUUAUGGGUGUGUGAGCAGUGUGCUUCCGAUGAACUAUUCCAUGGAAAUUGGGAGAGGAUCCGUAUAUAUUGGUGGAGUAUCUGUGUAUAUUGGUGGAGCAGUCUGUGUGUAUAAAGGAGGAUGGUGAGUCUGUGUUUUUUUUGUGAGUGGAGGUGUGAUGUCGACUUCUUCCGUGUGUGAGGAGAAGAAAAAUGGAAGAUCCUCUUUUUGUGGUUAUGUCCCGUGAUAUGGGUCUUCUGUGUCUUUUUUUUUGUGUUGUGCGUAUGGUGAUAUAUCUAAUGGAAAAGAAAAAUCCCCCCCCAGGUCAAAGUGUGUGCUUAUGUGGUCCCC